Molecule: ribosomal RNA, 301 nt
Filed under: uncultured bacterium
Lineage: Bacteria
Description: partial 16S ribosomal RNA
Rfam family: Bacterial small subunit ribosomal RNA
Source: RNAcentral
CAGCAGCCGCGGUAAUACGGAGGGAGCUAGCGUUGUUCGGAAUUAUUGGGCGUAAAGGGCUCGCAGGCGGUUUCUUAAGUCUGAUGUGAAAGCCCCCGGCUCAACCGGGGAGGGUCAUUGGAAACUGGGAAACUUGAGUGCAGAAGAGGAGAGUGGAACUCCACGUGUAGCGGUGAAAUGCGUAGAGAUGUGGAGGAACACCAGUGGCGAAGGCGACUCUCUGGUCUGUAACUGACGCUGAGGAGCGAAAGCGUGGGGAGCGAACAGGAUUAGAUACCCCGGUAGUCCCUGUCUCUUAUAC